UACGUAGGGUGCGAGCGUUAAUCGGAAUUACUGGGCGUAAAGCGUGCGCAGGCGGUUCGUUAAGUCAGAUGUGAAAGCCCCGGGCUCAACCUGGGAGCUGCAUUUGAAACUGGCGGGCUUGAGUGUGGCAGAGGGGGGUGGAAUUCCGCGUGUAGCAGUGAAAUGCGUAGAGAUGCGGAGGAACACCGAUGGCGAAGGCAGCCCCCUGGGCCAACACUGACGCUCAGGCACGAAAGCGUGGGGAGCAAACAGG
This 253-nucleotide ribosomal RNA is filed under the name uncultured bacterium. RNAcentral describes it as "partial 16S ribosomal RNA". It matches the Rfam family "Bacterial small subunit ribosomal RNA", at positions 524 to 776 of the family's 1533-position model. The record is from RNAcentral.